This 304-nucleotide ribosomal RNA is filed under the name uncultured bacterium. RNAcentral's name for it is "bacterial SSU rRNA". It matches the Rfam family "Bacterial small subunit ribosomal RNA", at positions 30 to 334 of the family's 1533-position model. The record is from RNAcentral.
AUUGAACGCUGGCGGCAGGCUUAAUACAUGCAAGUCGAACGGUAACAGCAGAAAAGCUUGCUUUUUUGGCUGACGAGUGGCGGACGGGUGAGUAAUACCUAGGAAACUGCCUAAACGAGGGGGAUAACAUUUGGAAACGAGUGCUAAUACCGCAUAAUACUGAGAAGUCAAAGGUUGGUUUACCAAUCGCGUUUAGAUGUGCCUAGGAGGGAUUAGCUAGUUGGUGGGUAAGGCCUACCAAGGCGAUGAUCUCUAGCUGGUCUGAGAGGAUGACCAGCCACACUGGAACUGAGACACGGUCCGG